CCUCGGGCGUGCAGGCGAUACGGGCAUAACUUGAGUGCUGUAAGGGAGACUGGAAUUCCUGGUGUAGCGGUGAAAUGCGCAGAUAUCAGGAGGAACACCAAUGGCGAAGGCAGGUCUCUGGGCAGUAACCGACGCUGAGGAGCGAAAGCAUGGGUAGCGAACAGGAUUAGAUACCCUGGUAGUCCAUGCCGUAAACGGUGGGCGCUAGGUGUAGGGGACUUCCACGUCUUCUGUGCCGCAGCUAACGCAUUAAGCGCCCCGCCUGGGGAGUACGGCCGCAAGGCUAAAACUCAAAGGAAUUGACGGGGGCCCGCACAAGCGGCGGAGCAUGUGGAUUAAUUCGAUGCAACGCGAAGAACCUUACCUGGGCUUGACAUACACCAGAUCGCUGCAGAGAUGUAGCUUCCCUUGUGGCUGGUGUACAGGUGGUGCAUGGUUGUCGUCAGCUCGUGUCGUGAGAUGUUGGGGUUAAGUCCCGCAACGAGCGCAACCCUUGUCUUAUGUUGCCAUCACGUGAUGGUGGGCACUCAUGAGAGACUGCCGGGUUAACUCGGAGGAAGGUGGGGAUGACGUCAAAUCAUCAUGCCCCUUAUGUCCAGGGCUUCACACAUGCUA
This 615-nucleotide ribosomal RNA is filed under the name uncultured bacterium. Its description in RNAcentral is "bacterial SSU rRNA". It matches the Rfam family "Bacterial small subunit ribosomal RNA", at positions 613 to 1227 of the family's 1533-position model. The record is from RNAcentral.